RNAcentral lists this ribosomal RNA (467 nucleotides) under uncultured Desulfobulbus sp. Its description in RNAcentral is "bacterial SSU rRNA". It matches the Rfam family "Bacterial small subunit ribosomal RNA", at positions 923 to 1382 of the family's 1533-position model. Lineage: Bacteria; Pseudomonadati; Thermodesulfobacteriota; Desulfobulbia; Desulfobulbales; Desulfobulbaceae. The record is from RNAcentral.
GCACAAGCGGUGGAGCAUGUGGUUAAUUCGAUGCAACGCGAAGAACCUUACCUGGUCUUGACAUCCCGGAGACCCUUAGGAAACUAGGGGGUGCUUCCACCUGGAAGAAUCUGGAGACAGGUGCUGCAUGGCUGUCGUCAGCUCGUGUCGUGAGAUGUUGGGUUAAGUCCCGCAACGAGCGCAACCCUUGCCUUUAGUUGCCAGCAGUUCGGCUGGGCACUCUAAAGGGACUGCCGGUGUUAAACCGGAGGAAGGUGGGGAUGACGUCAAGUCCUCAUGGCCUUUAUGACCAGGGCUACACACGUACUACAAUGGCCGAUACAAAGGGCAGGCGACACUGGCGAGGUGAAGACCAAUCCCGUAAAAUCGGUCUCAGUCCGGAUUGGAGUCUGCAACUCGACUCCAUGAAGUUGGAAUCGCUAGUAAUCGUGGAUCAGCAUGCCACGGUGAAUACGUUCCCGGGCCUU